RNAcentral lists this ribosomal RNA (879 nucleotides) under Pseudomonas fluorescens. Its description in RNAcentral is "bacterial SSU rRNA". It matches the Rfam family "Bacterial small subunit ribosomal RNA", at positions 61 to 936 of the family's 1533-position model. The record is from RNAcentral. Lineage: Bacteria; Pseudomonadati; Pseudomonadota; Gammaproteobacteria; Pseudomonadales; Pseudomonadaceae.
GUCGAGCGGAUGAAGGGAGCUUGCUCCUGGAUUCAGCGGCGGACGGGUGAGUAAUGCCUAGGAAUCUGCCUGGUAGUGGGGGAUAACGUCCGGAAACGGGCGCUAAUACCGCAUACGUCCUGAGGGAGAAAGUGGGGGAUCUUCGGACCUCACGCUAUCAGAUGAGCCUAGGUCGGAUUAGCUAGUUGGUGGGGUAAAGGCCUACCAAGGCGACGAUCCGUAACUGGUCUGAGAGGAUGAUCAGUCACACUGGAACUGAGACACGGUCCAGACUCCUACGGGAGGCAGCAGUGGGGAAUAUUGGACAAUGGGCGAAAGCCUGAUCCAGCCAUGCCGCGUGUGUGAAGAAGGUCUUCGGAUUGUAAAGCACUUUAAGUUGGGAGGAAGGGCAGUAAGUUAAUACCUUGCUGUUUUGACGUUACCAACAGAAUAAGCACCGGCUAACUUCGUGCCAGCAGCCGCGGUAAUACGAAGGGUGCAAGCGUUAAUCGGAAUUACUGGGCGUAAAGCGCGCGUAGGUGGUUCAGCAAGUUGGAUGUGAAAUCCCCGGGCUCAACCUGGGAACUGCAUCCAAAACUACUGAGCUAGAGUACGGUAGAGGGUGGUGGAAUUUCCUGUGUAGCGGUGAAAUGCGUAGAUAUAGGAAGGAACACCAGUGGCGAAGGCGACCACCUGGACUGAUACUGACACUGAGGUGCGAAAGCGUGGGGAGCAAACAGGAUUAGAUACCCUGGUAGUCCACGCCGUAACGAUGUCGACUAGCCGUUGGGAUCCUUGAGAUCUUAGUGGCGCAGCUAACGCGAUAAGUCGACCGCCUGGGGAGUACGGCCGCAAGGUUAAAACUCAAAUGAAUUGACGGGGGCCCGCACAAGCGGUGGA